GUGAACGCUGGCGGUAGGCCUAACACAUGCAAGUCGAACGGCAGCACAGUAAGAGCUUGCUCUUACGGGUGGCGAGUGGCGGACGGGUGGGGAAUACAUCGGAAUCUACUUUUUCGUGGGGGAUAACGUAGGGAAACUUACGCUAAUACCGCAUACGACCUACGGGUGAAAGCAGGGGAUCUUCGGACCUUGCGCGAUUGAAUGAGCCGAUGUCGGAUUAGCUAGUUGGCGGGGUAAAGGCCCACCAAGGCGACGAUCCGUAGCUGGUCUGAGAGGAUGAUCAGCCACACUGGAACUGAGACACGGUCCAGACUCCUACGGGAGGCAGCAGUGGGGAAUAUUGGACAAUGGGCGCAAGCCUGAUCCAGCCAUACCGCGUGGGUGAAGAAGGCCUUCGGGUUGUAAAGCCCUUUUGUUGGGAAAGAAAAGCAGCAGGUUAAUACCCCGCUGUUCCGACGGUACCCAAAGAAUAAGCACCGGCUAACUUCGUG
Molecule: ribosomal RNA, 491 nt
Filed under: uncultured bacterium
Lineage: Bacteria
Description: partial 16S ribosomal RNA
Rfam family: Bacterial small subunit ribosomal RNA
Source: RNAcentral